Molecule: long non-coding RNA, 525 nt
Filed under: Setaria italica (foxtail millet)
Lineage: Eukaryota; Viridiplantae; Streptophyta; Magnoliopsida; Poales; Poaceae
Description: long non-coding RNA (SITA_LNC007366)
Source: RNAcentral
UGGACCUAUUCUUCUACAGAGACCCUGAAGAAGCAAAGGAGGAGGAGGAAGCUGCUGCUGCCCCUGAAUUCGCUGCUAUCACUGAUUACCAAGCACCUGAACAGUGGGGUGGCGACCAGUGGACCUCUGAUGUGGCUCAGCCUGUUGCUGUUGGUGGCACUGGUGCUGAGUGGGGUGCUGCUGCAGGUAUGUACUGAUAAAAUUUUAUCAUCUUUGGUAUGGAACUCAUGCAGAAAUCUAGCUGUGUUGAAAUGGAAACUAUAUAACCCACACCUUGCUCUAUGCCCUGAGUUGCUCUUAUAAGUUUGUUGUGGUAACACGAAGUGAUCACAUUUUUCUUUGCAGCUCCGGUUCCUACUGGCGAUGGCUGGGAUCCAGCUGGUGCUCCCCCUCCACCUGUGGAAGGUGCGGUACCUCCGGCUGUUGCUCCUACUGGAUGGGACCCAGCAGCCCAACCCCCCGCUCAAGGCUGGGAGUAGGCAUAGGCCCUCGCUUCGUGAUGUGUCUUCCGCGGCUUAAAAUCAG